Molecule: ribosomal RNA, 468 nt
Filed under: uncultured bacterium
Lineage: Bacteria
Description: partial 16S ribosomal RNA
Rfam family: Bacterial small subunit ribosomal RNA
Source: RNAcentral
GACGAACGCUGGCGGCGUGCUUAACACAUGCAAGUCGAACGGAAAGGCCCUGCUUUUGUGGGGUGCUCGAGUGGCGAACGGGUGAGUAACACGUGAGUAACCUGCCCUUGACUUUGGGAUAACUUCAGGAAACUGGGGCUAAUACCGGAUAGGAGCUCCUGCUGCAUGGUGGGGGUUGGAAAGUUUCGGCGGUUGGGGAUGGAUUCGCGGCUUAUCAGCUUGUUUGUGGGGUAGUUGCUUACCAAGGCUUUGACGGGUAGCCGGCCUGAGAGGGUGACCGGCCACAUUGGGACUGAGAUACGGACCAGACUCCUACGGGAGGCAGCAGUGGGGAAUAUUGCACAAUGGGCGGAAGCGUGAUGCAGCAACGCCGCGUGCGGGAUGACGGCCUACGGGUUGUAAACCGCUUUCGCCUGUGACGAAGCGUGAGUGACGGUAAUGGGUAAAGAAGCAACGGCUAACUACGUG